GCAUAGCUCAGUUGGCAAAGCAUGAGACUCUUGAUCUCAAGGUCAUGGGUUCGAGCACAUUGGGCA
Non-coding RNA from Podarcis lilfordi (Lilford's wall lizard), 66 nucleotides. The record is from the annotation of a GenBank genome assembly. NCBI's taxonomy places the organism in Eukaryota, Metazoa, Chordata, Lepidosauria, Squamata, Lacertidae.